GGUUUACCUGUGUGACUGCGUACCUUUUGUAUAAUGGGUCAGCGACUUAUAUUCUGUAGCAAGGUUAACCGUAUAGGGGAGCCGUAGGGAAACCGAGUCUUAACCGGGCGUUAAGUUGCAGGGUAUAGACCCGAAACCCGGUGAUCUAGCCAUGGGCAGGUUGAAGGUUGGGUAACACUAACUGGAGGACCGAACCGACUAAUGUUGAAAAAUUAGCGGAUGACCUGUGGCUGGGGGUGAAAGGCCAAUCAAACCGGGAGAUAGCUGGUUCUCCCCGAAAGCUAUUUAGGUAGCGCCUCGUGAAUUCAUCUCCGGGGGUAGAGCACUGUUUCGGCUAGGGGGCCAUCCCGGCUUACCAACCCGAUGCAAACUGCGAAUACCGGAGAAUGUUAUCACGGGAGACACACGGCGGGUGCUAACGUCCGUCGUGAAGAGGGAAACAACCCAGACCGCCAGCUAAGGUCCCAAAGUCAUGGUUAAGUGGGAAACGAUGUGGGAAGGCCCAGACAGCCAGGAUGUUGGCUUAGAAGCAGCCAUCAUUUAAAGAAAGCGUAAUAGCUCACUGGUCGAGUCGGCCUGCGCGGAAGAUGUAACGGGGCUAAACCAUGCACCGAAGCUGCGGCAGCGAACGUAUCACCCAAGACAACUUUACGGAGUUGACGAUUGACGGAGCGAAGCGACGUCAAAGCGUUCAUUAAAGUCGAGUUGGCUUAGGGAUACGUUCGUUGGGUAGGGGAGCGUUCUGUAAGCCUGUGAAGGUGUGUCGUGAGGCAUGCUGGAGGUAUCAGAAGUGCGAAUGCUGACAUAAGUAACGAUAAAGCGGGUGAAAAGCCCGCUCGCCGGAAGACCAAGGGUUCCUGUCCAACGUUAAUCGGGGCAGGGUGAGUCGACCCCUAAGGCGAGGCCGAAAGGCGUAGUCGAUGGGAAACGGGUUAAUAUUCCCGUACUUGGUGUUACUGCGAAGGGGGGACGGAGAAGGCUAUGUUGGCCGGGCGACGGUUGUCCCGGUUUAAGCGUGUAGGUGUGUGUUCCAGGUAAAUCCGGUUCACUUUAACACUGAGGCGUGACGACGAGGCACUACGGUGCUGAAGCAACAAAUGCCCUGCUUCCAGGAAAAGCCUCUAAGCAUCAGGUAACACGAAAUCGUACCCCAAACCGACACAGGUGGUCAGGUAGAGAAUACCAAGGCGCUUGAGAGAACUCGGGUGAAGGAACUAGGCAAAAUGGUGCCGUAACUUCGGGAGAAGGCACGCUGACACGUAGGUGAAGUGAUUUACUCAUGGAGCUGAAGUCAGUCGAAGAUACCAGCUGGCUGCAACUGUUUAUUAAAAACACAGCACUGUGCAAACACGAAAGUGGACGUAUACGGUGUGACGCCUGCCCGGUGCCGGAAGGUUAAUUGAUGGGGUCAGCGUAAGCGAAGCUCCUGAUCGAAGCCCCGGUAAACGGCGGCCGUAACUAUAACGGUCCUAAGGUAGCGAAAUUCCUUGUCGGGUAAGUUCCGACCUGCACGAAUGGCGUAAUGAUGGCCAGGCUGUCUCCACCCGAGACUCAGUGAAAUUGAACUCGCUGUGAAGAUGCAGUGUACCCGCGGCAAGACGGAAAGACCCCGUGAACCUUUACUAUAGCUUGACACUGAACAUUGAGCCUUGAUGUGUAGGAUAGGUGGGAGGCUUUGAAGUGUGGACGCCAGUCUGCAUGGAGCCGACCUUGAAAUACCACCCUUUAAUGUUUGAUGUUCUAACGUGGACCCGUAAUCCGGGUUGCGGACAGUGUCUGGUGGGUAGUUUGACUGGGGCGGUCUCCUCCUAAAGAGUAACGGAGGAGCACGAAGGUUGGCUAAUCCUGGUCGGACAUCAGGAGGUUAGUGCAAUGGCAUAAGCCAGCUUGACUGCGAGCGUGACGGCGCGAGCAGGUGCGAAAGCAGGUCAUAGUGAUCCGGUGGUUCUGAAUGGAAGGGCCAUCGCUCAACGGAUAAAAGGUACUCCGGGGAUAACAGGCUGAUACCGCCCAAGAGUUCAUAUCGACGGCGGUGUUUGGCACCUCGAUGUCGGCUCAUCACAUCCUGGGGCUGAAGUAGGUCCCAAGGGUAUGGCUGUUCGCCAUUUAAAGUGGUACGCGAGCUGGGUUUAGAACGUCGUGAGACAGUUCGGUCCCUAUCUGCCGUGGGCGCUGGAGAACUGAGGGGGGCUGCUCCUAGUACGAGAGGACCGGAGUGGACGCAUCACUGGUGUUCGGGUUGUCAUGCCAAUGGCACUGCCCGGUAGCUAAAUGCGGAAGAGAUAAGUGCUGAAAGCAUCUAAGCACGAAACUUGCCCCGA
This 2321-nucleotide ribosomal RNA is filed under the name Salmonella enterica subsp. enterica serovar Typhimurium. Its description in RNAcentral is "partial 23S ribosomal RNA". It matches the Rfam family "Bacterial large subunit ribosomal RNA", at positions 582 to 2802 of the family's 2925-position model. The record is from RNAcentral. Lineage: Bacteria; Pseudomonadati; Pseudomonadota; Gammaproteobacteria; Enterobacterales; Enterobacteriaceae.